Molecule: ribosomal RNA, 1376 nt
Filed under: Escherichia coli
Lineage: Bacteria; Pseudomonadati; Pseudomonadota; Gammaproteobacteria; Enterobacterales; Enterobacteriaceae
Description: partial 23S ribosomal RNA
Rfam family: Bacterial large subunit ribosomal RNA
Source: RNAcentral
CGGGACACGUGGUAUCCUGUCUGAAUAUGGGGGGACCAUCCUCCAAGGCUAAAUACUCCUGACUGACCGAUAGUGAACCAGUACCGUGAGGGAAAGGCGAAAAGAACCCCGGCGAGGGGAGUGAAAAAGAACCUGAAACCGUGUACGUACAAGCAGUGGGAGCACGCUUAGGCGUGUGACUGCGUACCUUUUGUAUAAUGGGUCAGCGACUUAUAUUCUGUAGCAAGGUUAACCGAAUAGGGGAGCCGAAGGGAAACCGAGUCUUAACUGGGCGUUAAGUUGCAGGGUAUAGACCCGAAACCCGGUGAUCUAGCCAUGGGCAGGUUGAAGGUUGGGUAACACUAACUGGAGGACCGAACCGACUAAUGUUGAAAAAUUAGCGGAUGACUUGUGGCUGGGGGUGAAAGGCCAAUCAAACCGGGAGAUAGCUGGUUCUCCCCGAAAGCUAUUUAGGUAGCGCCUCGUGAAUUCAUCUCCGGGGGUAGAGCACUGUUUCGGCAAGGGGGUCAUCCCGACUUACCAACCCGAUGCAAACUGCGAAUACCGGAGAAUGUUAUCACGGGAGACACACGGCGGGUGCUAACGUCCGUCGUGAAGAGGGAAACAACCCAGACCGCCAGCUAAGGUCCCAAAGUCAUGGUUAAGUGGGAAACGAUGUGGGAAGGCCCAGACAGCCAGGAUGUUGGCUUAGAAGCAGCCAUCAUUUAAAGAAAGCGUAAUAGCUCACUGGUCGAGUCGGCCUGCGCGGAAGAUGUAACGGGGCUAAACCAUGCACCGAAGCUGCGGCAGCGACGCUGAUGCGUUGUUGGGUAGGGGAGCGUUCUGUAAGCCUGUGAAGGUGUGCUGUGAGGCAUGCUGGAGGUAUCAGAAGUGCGAAUGCUGACAUAAGUAACGAUAAAGCGGGUGAAAAGCCCGCUCGCCGGAAGACCAAGGGUUCCUGUCCAACGUUAAUCGGGGCAGGGUGAGUCGACCCCUAAGGCGAGGCCGAAAGGCGUAGUCGAUGGGAAACAGGUUAAUAUUCCUGUACUUGGUGUUACUGCGAAGGGGGGACGGAGAAGGCUAUGUUGGCCGGGCGACGGUUGUCCCGGUUUAAGCGUGUAGGCUGGUUUUCCAGGCAAAUCCGGAAAAUCAAGGCUGAGGCGUGAUGACGAGGCACUACGGUGCUGAAGCAACAAAUGCCCUGCUUCCAGGAAAAGCCUCUAAGCAUCAGGUAACAUCAAAUCGUACCCCAAACCGACACAGGUGGUCAGGUAGAGAAUACCAAGGCGCUUGAGAGAACUCGGGUGAAGGAACUAGGCAAAAUGGUGCCGUAACUUCGGGAGAAGGCACGCUGAUAUGUAGGUGAAGCGACUUGCUCGUGGAGCUGAAAUCAGUCG